GGUCCCAUCGUCUAGUGGUUAGGACAUCGCCCUUUCACGGCGGUAACAUGGGUUCAAAUCCCGUUGGGAUCACCA
Molecule: transfer RNA, 75 nt
Filed under: Acetobacter sp.
Lineage: Bacteria; Pseudomonadati; Pseudomonadota; Alphaproteobacteria; Acetobacterales; Acetobacteraceae
Also listed under: 4 other names
Description: tRNA-Glu
Rfam family: tRNA
About the family: Transfer RNA (tRNA) molecules are approximately 80 nucleotides in length. Their secondary structure includes four short double-helical elements and three loops (D, anti-codon, and T loops). Further hydrogen bonds mediate the characteristic L-shaped molecular structure. tRNAs have two regions of fundamental functional importance: the anti-codon, which is responsible for specific mRNA codon recognition, and the 3' end, to which the tRNAs corresponding amino acid is attached (by aminoacyl-tRNA synthetases). tRNAs cope with the degeneracy of the genetic code in two manners: having more than one tRNA (with a specific anti-codon) for a particular amino acid; and 'wobble' base-pairing, i.e. permitting non-standard base-pairing at the 3rd anti-codon position.
Source: RNAcentral